RNAcentral lists this ribosomal RNA (449 nucleotides) under uncultured bacterium. Its description in RNAcentral is "partial 16S ribosomal RNA". It matches the Rfam family "Bacterial small subunit ribosomal RNA", at positions 29 to 523 of the family's 1533-position model. The record is from RNAcentral.
AACGAACGCUGGCGGCAUGCCUAACACAUGCAAGUCGAACGAAGCCUUCGGGCUUAGUGGCGCACGGGUGCGUAACGCGUGGGAAUCUGCCCUUUGGUUCGGAAUAACAGUUGGAAACGACUGCUAAUACCGGAUGAUGACGAAAGUCCAAAGAUUUAUCGCCAGAGGAUGAGCCCGCGUAGGAUUAGCUAGUUGGUGUGGUAAAGGCGCGCCAAGGCGACGAUCCUUAGCUGGUCUGAGAGGAUGAUCAGCCACACUGGGACUGAGACACGGCCCAGACUCCUACGGGAGGCAGCAGUGGGGAAUAUUGGACAAUGGGCGAAAGCCUGAUCCAGCAAUGCCGCGUGAGUGAUGAAGGCCUUAGGGUUGUAAAGCUCUUUUACCCGGGAUGAUAAUGACAGUACCGGGAGAAUAAGCUCCGGCUAACUCCGUGCCAGCCGCCGCAGUAA